GCCGCGGUAACACCGGCAGCUCUAGUGGUAACAAUUUUAUUGGGACCUAAAGCGUCCGUAGCCGGUUUAAUAAGUCUCUGGUGAAAUCCUGCAGCUUAACUGUGGGAAUUGCUGGAGAUACUAUUAGACUUGAGACCGGGAGAGGUUAGAGGUACUCCCAGGGUAGAGGUGAAAUUCUGUAAUCCUGGGAGGACCGCCUGUUGCGAAGGCGUCUAACUGGAACGGUUCUGACGGUGAGGGACGAAAGUUAGGGGCGCGAACCGGAUUAGAUACCCGGGUAGUCCUAACUGUAAACGAUGCGGACUUGGUGUUGGGGUGGCUUUGAGCUGCUUCAGUGCCGAAGGGAAGCUGUUAAGUCCGCCGCCUGGGAAGUACGGUCGCAGGACUGAAACUUAAAGGAAUUGGCGGGGGAGCACCACAACGCGUGGAGCCUGCGGUUUAAUUGGAUUCAACGCCGGACAUCUCACCAGAGGCGACAGCUGUAUGAUAGCCAGGUUGAUGACUUUGCUUGACUAGCUGAGUAGUGGUGCAUGG
Molecule: ribosomal RNA, 534 nt
Filed under: uncultured archaeon
Lineage: Archaea
Description: bacterial SSU rRNA
Rfam family: Archaeal small subunit ribosomal RNA
Source: RNAcentral